GGGGGUUGCCGAGCCUGGUCAAAGGCGCGGGAUUUAGGGUCCCGUCCCGCAGGGGUUCCCGGGUUCAAAUCCCGGCCCCCGCACCAGA
Molecule: transfer RNA, 88 nt
Filed under: Thermococcus barophilus MP
Lineage: Archaea; Methanobacteriati; Methanobacteriota; Thermococci; Thermococcales; Thermococcaceae
Description: tRNA-Leu
Rfam family: tRNA
About the family: Transfer RNA (tRNA) molecules are approximately 80 nucleotides in length. Their secondary structure includes four short double-helical elements and three loops (D, anti-codon, and T loops).
Source: RNAcentral